Long non-coding RNA from Gopherus evgoodei (Goodes thornscrub tortoise), 1534 nucleotides. RefSeq lists it as uncharacterized. NCBI's taxonomy places the organism in Eukaryota, Metazoa, Chordata, Testudines, Testudinidae. The record is from RefSeq and is a predicted model, not a curated record. The transcript has 4 exons.
CUAAGAAAUAGUGGUGAUACCUGCACCGUUGGUAGCAACAGUGUCGAGCCCUAAUGGAAAAAGACUGGCUUGCCACCCUUUGUGUUGGACAUUUUCAGAGUGCAGAGUGCCUCUCUCAGGACUGAAUGACUGUUCUAGUCUCAGAAGAGAGCUGAGUGAGGCUCUGCAGAGAUACGGAGAAAGGGUAACCACAAUAUAGUUAGCCAGCACAUCUUGGAGGGACUAUUCAAAUUAAGUGGCUCAUCAAUAAACACUUAACUGACACUGGGAGAUGCCCAUCUACACUGAAUGGACUGUCUUGCAAACAUGCUGUUUGAGAUGCUUCUGCUGCCGGAACAGGAUGUUGGUGGCUCCCGCAACAAAGCCACGGACUGUUACAUCAGAGAGGAGGUGAUGCUGUUGCAGUGCCAUGUAUGGCAAGCAAAGAUUAAACAGAAGGAUCACUAUCCAGAUGAAAAAUACCAACAACUAAAACAGAACUGCCUUUGUCAAAGAAUAAGAGUUCUAUGUUAGAGAGUCACCAACCUGGAGUAUUAGGUUUCUGGAAAAAUAAUAUUAAGGAAGUUGACAAUGCAAUAUUUAAUUGUCGUGUAAUUUUAACAAUCAGACAAGCUGUACCAUUUUAGAAAUGCUUUGCCAUUUAAAAGAAAGAGGGCCUGAUUCCAAACUCACCAUGCAACUAUGAUGGCUUCUGAUUUACACUGGUGUAAAUGAGAUGAGCAUCUGACCUUAUAUAGCUGGCACUAAAAUUAGUAACAAAAAUCCAUAACCUGUUUUUUCUUUGUAGUUUGUGCUCUUUUAUACUAGGAAAUACGUUACCACAUGGUCAAUAAAGCCAGUUCAUGACCUUUUGGCACAAUCUCAUUCAUCCAAAUUUGGUCUGGUGGACUAAACUUUCUUUCCAUAGUAUGGAACAAACAAACAAAAACAAGAAAACAAACUUGUAAAUAAUCCUGUCUAAAUAGCUUCGCUGAUUAUAAGACCAGAAGGGACCACUGUGAUCAACCUAGUCUGACUUCCUGUAUAACACUGGUCAUAACAUUUCCUUGAAUUAGAGUAUAUAUCUUUAAAAAAAAAAAAUCCAUUCUUGAUUUAAAAAUUGCCAGAUCUAAAAUGAAGUUCAGUUUCAUGUUGAAUUAAAUUGUUUCCUGAGAGUAGACAAUCUAGAAGUUAUUGAAGGAUGCUCAUCACUAGAAAUUGGUAUAUCUGUAAUUUCCAGUUCUCUGCUUUGAUUUCAUUAGCUAAACUUGAAUGAGAGAGUGCCUUUGUAGGGUGGAAGGUAAACAUUAAAAAACAUAUUGUCAGCUAAAUUUAAACUGUUUAGUUCUCCAUUUUAAAACCCCUCUUAAAAUCUUCAAGAUUCUCCCCACUCACCCACUAAUGAUUUUGUCCUUUUAACAAAUGAAAAAAGCACUGCUUUCCCCCUUUAAACUGAUAUUUCUAAUUGAGCUGAAGUUAAUAUGACUUUGCAUUUGCUUGUAUGCAGUGUUGUUGUAACCGUGUCAGCCCCAGGAUAUUAGUGACAGAAAGUGGA